AGAGUUUGAUCCUGGCUCAGGACGAACGCUAACGGUGUGCUUUAGACAUGCAAGUCGAACGAGAAAGCCCUUCGGGGUGAGUACAGUGGCGAACGGGUGAGUAACACGUGGGUAACCUACCCCUCGCAGGGGGACAACCGGGGGAAACCCCGGCUAAUACCCCGUACGCUCCGAGGUCCGCAUGGGCCACGGAGGAAAGGUAGCUUCGGCCAUCCGGCGAGGGAUGGGCCCGCGGUCCAUUAGCUAGUUGGUGGGGUAACGGCUCACCAAGGCGACGAUGGAUAGCUGGUCUGAGAGGAUGAUCAGCCACACUGGGACUGAGACACGGCCCAGACUCCUACGGGAGGCAGCAGUCGGGAAUCUUGCGCAAUGGGCGAAAGCCUGACGCAGCAACACCGUGUGAGCGACGAAGGCCUUCGGGUCGUAAAGCUCUGUUGUUGGGGACGAAGGGCGAAGGGUUAAUAGCCCCUAGCUUGACGGUACCCUUCGAGGAAGCCCCGGCUAACUACGUGCCAGCAGCCGCGGUAAUACGUAGGGGGCGAGCGUUGUCCGGAAUUAUUGGGCGUAAAGAGCGUGUAGGCGGUUCGGUAAGUCUGCCGUGAAAACCUGGGGCUCAACCCCGGGCGUGCGGUGGAAACUGCCGGGCUAGAGGAUGGUAGAGGCGAGUGGAAUUCCCGGUGUAGCGGUGAAAUGCGCAGAUAUCGGGAGGAACACCAGUAGCGAAGGCGGCUCGCUGGGCCAUUCCUGACGCUGAGACGCGAAAGCUAGGGGAGCGAACAGGAUUAGAUACCCCGGUAGUCC
RNAcentral lists this ribosomal RNA (801 nucleotides) under uncultured Rubrobacter sp. Its description in RNAcentral is "bacterial SSU rRNA". It matches the Rfam family "Bacterial small subunit ribosomal RNA", at positions 8 to 796 of the family's 1533-position model. Lineage: Bacteria; Bacillati; Actinomycetota; Rubrobacteria; Rubrobacterales; Rubrobacteraceae. The record is from RNAcentral.